UGGGGAAUCUUGCACAAUGGGCGAAAGCCUGAUGCAGCAACGCCGCGUGCGGGAAGAAGGCCCUCGGGUUGUAAACCGCUUUCAGAAGGAACGAAACUGACGGUACUUUCAGAAGAAGGUGCGGCCAACUACGUGCCAGCAGCCGCGGUGACACGUAGGCACCAAGCGUUGUCCGGAUUUAUUGGGCGUAAAGAGCUCGUAGGCGGUUCAGUAAGUCGGGUGUGAAAACUUUGGGCUUAACCCAAAGCGUGCAUCCGAUACUGCUGUGACUUGAGUACGGUAGGGGAGCGGGGAAUUCCUAGUGUAGCGGUGAAAUGCGCAGAUAUUAGGAGGAACACCGGUGGCGAAGGCGCCGCUCUGGGCCGAAACUGACGCUGAGGAGCGAAAGCAUGGGUAGCAAACAGGAUUAGAUACCCUCGUAGUCCCUGAGCGGGCUGGCAAGGCGCAU
RNAcentral lists this ribosomal RNA (448 nucleotides) under uncultured bacterium. Its description in RNAcentral is "bacterial SSU rRNA". It matches the Rfam family "Bacterial small subunit ribosomal RNA", at positions 355 to 825 of the family's 1533-position model. The record is from RNAcentral.